Molecule: unclassified non-coding RNA, 340 nt
Filed under: soil metagenome
Description: partial contains 5.8S ribosomal RNA, internal transcribed spacer 2, and large subunit ribosomal RNA
Rfam family: 5.8S ribosomal RNA (bases 1-120)
Source: RNAcentral
GAUGAAGAACGCAGCGAAAUGCGAUACGUAGUGUGAAUUGCAGAAUUCAGUGGAUCAUCGAAUCUUUGAACGCACAUUGCGCCCUUUGGUAUUCCAAAGGGCAUGCCUGUUCGAGCGUCAUUUGUACCCUCAAGCUUUGCUUGGUGUUGGGCGUCUUUUGUCUCCAGUUCGCUGGAGACUCGCCUUAAAGUCAUUGGCAGCCGGCCUACUGGUUUCGGAGCGCAGCACAAGUCGCGCUCUUAGCCAGCCAAGGUCAGCGUCCAGCAAGCCUUUUUUCAACCUUUGACCUCGGAUCAGGUAGGGAUACCCGCUGAACUUAAGCAUAUCAAUAAGCGGAGGA